Molecule: non-coding RNA, 108 nt
Organism: Acanthosepion pharaonis
Lineage: Eukaryota; Metazoa; Mollusca; Cephalopoda; Sepiida; Sepiidae
Source: the annotation of a GenBank genome assembly
UACGGCUAUAUCAUGUUGAUGCACCGAUUCUCAUCAGAUUGCCGAAGUUAAGCAACGUCGAGAAUGCUUAGUACCUAGAUGGGUAACCGCUUAAGAAUAUUAGGUGCU